RNAcentral lists this long non-coding RNA (4212 nucleotides) under Setaria viridis. RNAcentral describes it as "long non-coding RNA (SVIR_LNC002901)". The record is from RNAcentral. Lineage: Eukaryota; Viridiplantae; Streptophyta; Magnoliopsida; Poales; Poaceae.
AGGCUCUGGAUGUUACAGUGCAGAUCAGGAAAACGUACAGGCCAAGGGGCGGUAAAGAUUGCUGUGGACAUGGUUAAUGAGGGUCUUGUUGAGCGCCGUCAAGCGAUUAAGAUGGUAGAGCCAGGCCACCUGGACCAGCUUCUCCAUCCUCAGGUAAUGGAUAACCAUGAGGCCCGUAAACUGAUUGUGCCUUACUUGAAAUUCAGUACUCUUAUAAGUUUGGCCUUACUUGGAAUUCACUUUAUAAGUUAAGUACUGGAUAUGUAUUAACAUCACUGUUUUAAUCUUGUCCAAUGAAAACCAGUUUGAGAACCCAUCAGCAUACAAGGAUCAAGUAAUCGCUACAGGCUUACCAGCUUCACCUGGGGCUGCUGUGGGCCAAAUUGUAUUUACUGCAGAGGACGCUGAAGCAUGGCAUGCCCAAGGGAAAGCUGCUAUCCUGGUAAACACCAUUUUAUCCUCAUUUUUAAGAAAAAAAGGUCUUCUGCAGUUUUUGUGUCAUUUUGAUCUGGACUUUGUGCUUCGAUGAAAAGAUCUGUUAAUUGAGCAAAACUGGUCUAUUUACUGGACCUGUUAGAAUAGUUGCUUGCAGAGUUACAGUCACAAAAAUCCCACUUAUCACAGACAGCCAUUUUUGAAAUGCAUAUGGAAGCUCCAAGUCGUAUCGCUUCAUCUUUUGCAUUCUGAGAAUUUUUUCUUUGCAAAUAUAUAGGUGAGGACAGAGACCAGCCCAGAGGAUGUUGGUGGCAUGCACGCAGCUGUUGGAAUUCUUACAGCAAGAGGUGGGAUGACCUCUCAUGCUGCUGUGGUAGCACGUGGUUGGGGAAAAUGUUGUGUCUCAGGAUGCUCAAGCGUUCUCGUAAAUGAUGCUGAGAAGGUGAAUAGAAUUCUUGUUUGCACAUCUUCUUCUUUGUAGAAGGUGACAUGCCAUGUUAAAGUUUGUAACAGGAUUAUGACAUUCUUUGUAGAUGUGCUCCGUCCGCCAUUUUUAAGUUCUUAUUAACGAGAUUUUGAGGAUGUAGAUGUUUCCUUACUUUGCUAUGUCUACAUUUACAGUCUGUAGUGAUUGGAGACAAGGUGAUGCAUGAAGGUGAGUGGCUAUCACUGAAUGGAUCUACUGGUGAAGUCAUCGUGGGGAAGCAGCCACUUUCCCCACCAGUCCUCAGUGGUGAUCUGGGAACCUUCAUGUCCUGGGUAGAUGAAGUUAGGCAACUGAAGGUAAAUUCCUAGAAAUAACAAAUAUGUAAUAUUAGUUAAAACAUGGAUACAAACUGUUGGAAGUAGAAACCAACAAAAAGGGCAUCAGAUUAUUUAUUCAGACAGGCCAAAGCUAGUCAACCCCACUACACAUUUUUCAACAGAAAUGCUUAUUCGUACAUAUGAUCCACCUUCCAGGUUUUGGCUAAUGCGGAUACCCCUGAGGAUGCACUGACAGCAAGAAACAAUGGGGCAGAAGGAAUUGGACUAUGCCGGACGGAGCACAUGGUAUGUAUUUUAGUUACUGUCCAAUAUCUUUUGGGUGGGAUCUUGGAAAACUUACUCUUUCUUGAAUUCCUUCGUCGAACAGUUGGGUAAACUUUAAGGACCUCCCGUUCUAGUCUCAUGUUCUCCUUUUCUGCACUUUGGCAGUUCUUUGCUUCGGAUGAGAGGAUUAAGGCUGUGAGGCAGAUGAUUAUGGCUCCCACACUUGAACUGAGGCAGAAGGCACUAGAUCGUCUUUUGCCUUAUCAGAGGUCUGACUUUGAAGGCAUUUUCCGUGCUAUGGAUGGUAUGUGAAAAUCACGAUGCAUUCAUUUACAUGCUCUCCAAUUGAACUGGAUGCACUAGUGUUACUGAACAUAACAAGAGUAAGCAACCUUCUUAAAUAGACAACAUUGACUACUAAUGUAAAGUGAAAAGGUAGACAAGUUUUAAACCUUAGGAUGCAAAAUACUUCAAAAAUAAGAACGAAAUUGGGCCAGUAACAUAUUGCAUCAAUUAUUUAACUUGGUAACAUAAAGUUCUGCUAUGAUUUAUCCAUUAGUUUUUUUUAAUCUUUUAUAGCGAGUGGUAUAUGUACAUGUUUCAUGGAAACAGAUAUAGAAUUAAACUACUAGAAUAAAUUUUAACAUGUAUUGUAGUUAGUUCCACAGUAUGUAUUUUAAAGUGCGGAAUGGAUUUGAACAUUAUUUUUUUUGCAUUUCAGGGCUUUCAGUGACUAUUCGGCUUCUGGACCCCCCACUUCAUGAGUUUCUUCCUGACGGGAAUGUUGAAGACAUUGUGCGUGAAUUAUGUUCUGAAACUGGAGCCAAUCAGGAGGAAGCCCUUGCAAGAAUUGAAAGUCUUUCAGAAGUAAAUCCAAUGCUUGGUUUCCGUGGGUGCAGGUUGGUUUUUGUGCUCCGUUUAAAUCAGUCACCCCCCCUCCUUGAUCCAUUUGGUUCCCUUGUUAGUGAAAUAUUAAAAAGAAUAAACUCUGUAUAUUUACCUCGACUAAUAUUGGAACUGCUAAAAUUCCAGGCUCGGUAUAUCAUAUCCUGAGCUAACAGAAAUGCAAGCCCGUGCCAUCUUUGAAGCUGCUAUAGCGAUGACCAACCAGGGUGUUCAAGUUUUCCCAGAGAUAAUGGUUCCUCUUGUUGGGACACCUCAGGCAUGCAUCUUUAUUUCCUUAUUUGUGCAUAUGGUAUCUCUGCAGUUCAUGGUGUUCAAAAUGACAAAAUCAAAAUUGAAUAAACAACCAAGUUCUGUACACAUGUAAUUUACGAUUUUAUGCAAACAUCAAGUUGACCUACACCCAAUUUCCCACCAAAUUCAUUUCUUGAAAUUUUCUCUCUCGAAUUCUAAGUUUAUUGCUUUCACUUGAUUUUUCCUUCAGACAUCUGACAUUUGACUUUUGCAGGAACUGGGGAAUCAAGUGGCCCUUAUCCGUGAAACUGCUAACAAAGUUUUCGCUGCUCUGGGUAAAACCAUUGACUACAAAAUUGGAACUAUGAUUGAAAUUCCGAGGGCAGCUCUAGUAGCUGAUGAGGUAGGAAGCAUCUAACUCCCUUCAGAAUAAUCUUAAAUAUUGCUGUUUAGGUUUAGCUUUUAGAUCAUAUUUUUCAUGAAUGGUUUAGUAAUAGAACCCCGGAUUUUUACUCUAAAACAUGUGAAUAGUAACUGAUGGUAUGAAUUUAUUAAGUGCAAAUAAUAAGUUUAUCCUCUAAUUUAAAAAAAAAACUGACAUUCUUGUUUUGGUUUCACAACCUGACAGAUAGCAGAGCAGGCUGAAUUCUUCUCUUUUGGAACGAACGACCUCACACAGAUGACAUUUGGCUACAGCAGGGAUGAUGUGGGGAAGUUUCUUCCCAUUUAUCUGUCUCAGGGUAUCCUCCAACAUGAUCCCUUUGAGGUAAAAUUUUAGCAGCUCUCACCCUUCAGUUUUAGAUGAUAUACCUGCAUUUUCAUCAUCCACUCUUGUUUUUCAAGGAAUAUUUCCAUCAUCCACAGAUGCGAGCAUCUCAUGUCCUCUAGGCAUUUUUCAUGUCCUUGACUUUUGGUUACGUGCAUGCUCUGGUAAAAUUCAACCUAGUAACUUGCCCAUUGAAUGUUGAUAAACAUAUCAGGUGCUGGAUCAGAGGGGAGUGGGCGAGCUGGUUAAGUUUGCUACAGAGAGGGGUCGCAAAGCUAGGCCUAACUUGAAGGUUAGUUUUUGGGACUUGUGGACAUUGGCUCUUUUCCUUAGAAAUCAUGGUUUCAUUGUUUGGUGCUGUCUGCAAACAGGUGGGCAUCUGUGGAGAACACGGUGGGGAGCCUUCGUCAGUUGCAUUCUUUGCAAAGUCGGGGCUGGAUUAUGUUUCUUGCUCGCCUUUCAGGUUGGUCAAGUGAUAAACUCAAGAUACAACUCCCAGAUUCAUAACUGUAGCAAAACCUUAACUACUUUUUAUGAAAUAUCUUGUGCAGGGUUCCCAUCGCCAGGCUAGCUGCAGCUCAGGUGCUCGUCUGAGGGCACCGCCUCAUCGGCAACCGGAUCACCUGCUGUUGGUGCGUCUGGUGAAGAAUACUAAUACAAAGCCAUGGAACGGUGGAACUCUGCUGCCUGGCAAAGGCCGUUGUAUCUUGUAUGAAGUCUCCGUGCGCGUGCGCAUGUAAGACUUAAUGUGUGGUUUUCUGCAUUUUCCCUUGAACUACCAUGGUAAUGUAGUACCAAACAGAGAUGAUGACGAAGAACAAUCGAAUAAAUUAAUUGGCGAUUAC